UACAGAGGUCCCAAGCGUUACUGAGAUUCACUGGGUUUAAAGGGUGCGUAGGUGGCGCGUUAAGUCAGUUGUGAAAUCCCCGGGCUCAACCCGGGAAAAGCUUCUGAUACUGGCGCGCUUGAGGUCGGUAUAGGCUACUGGAACGGACGGUGGAGCGGUGAAAUGCGUAGAUAUCGUCUGGAACGCCAGUGGUGAAGACGGGUAGCUGGACCGAUUCUGACACUGAGGCACGAAAGCGUGGGGAGCAAACAGG
Molecule: ribosomal RNA, 253 nt
Filed under: uncultured prokaryote
Description: partial 16S ribosomal RNA
Rfam family: Bacterial small subunit ribosomal RNA
Source: RNAcentral